GAUAAACGCUGGCGGCGCACAUAAUACAUGCAAGUUGAACGGACUUAAUCGAAAUAUUUAUAUGUUGAAGCGGUUAGUGGCGGACUGGUGAGUAACGCGUAAGGAACCUGCCUAUUAGAGGGGAAUAACAGUGAGAAAUCAUUGCUAAUACCGCAUAUGCCAUAGAUAUCACAUGAUAACAGUGGGAAAGGAGCAAUCCGCUAAUAGAUGGCCUUGCGUCUGAUUAGAUAGUUGGUGGGGUAACGGCCUACCAAGUCGACGAUCAGUAGCCGGAAUGAGAGGAUGAACGGACACAUUGGGCUUGUGAUACGGCCCAGACUCAUAAGGGAGGGAGAAGUCAGGCAUAUUGCGACAUGGAGGAAACUCUGACGCAGUGACGCCGUGUAUAGGAAGAAGGUUUUCGGAUUGUAAACUAUUGUCGUUAGGGAAGAGAAAGGACAGUACCUAAGGAGGAAGCUCCGGCUAACUACGUG
This 473-nucleotide ribosomal RNA is filed under the name uncultured bacterium. Its description in RNAcentral is "partial 16S ribosomal RNA". It matches the Rfam family "Bacterial small subunit ribosomal RNA", at positions 28 to 507 of the family's 1533-position model. The record is from RNAcentral.